RNAcentral lists this ribosomal RNA (279 nucleotides) under Lumbricus castaneus. RNAcentral describes it as "partial 12S ribosomal RNA". The record is from RNAcentral. Lineage: Eukaryota; Metazoa; Annelida; Clitellata; Crassiclitellata; Lumbricidae.
CCGUCGUAAGCACACCUCUAAAAGUCAGAGAAGUAUGCAAUAACGAUUAACUCUUAUACGUCAGGUCAAAGUGCAGCCCAUGGGGGGGGAGAUGAUGGGUUACACCCUAAACACAGAUACGAAGGAUAGCACUAAAAGCUAUGUAAAGGAGGACUUGGUUGUAACAAUAAUACAAUGCUAAAGUGAAUGUGAAUCUAAGACAUGCACACAUCGCCCGUCACUCUCGCCUAAAGGCGAGAUAAGUCGUAACAAAGUAGGUGUAACGGAAGUUGCCCCUGU